ACAAAAAAUUUAAACAUACUCGUGAAAACUUUUUUAAUUUGUUUAAUAUAGUUUCGGUUGAAUAUUAUUGGAUAACAUCGUCUAACAGUUUUGUUGAUUAGUAAAUUUGGUAAAUGGUUUAGAAACUAUCUCCAAAUUUUUUACAAUAUGACGACAUUUAAAAAUUUAACAAAAUCCCAAAAGCCCCUGGCUUCGUUCCACCGUGACAUGCAGACUUUUUGCAAAGAAACUUCACAAACUCUACGUGGACACAACAAAGCCCGCAAUGGAAAUUAUAGAUAGCCGAACUUGUGUACAAGAAGCUAUGCAUUUACGCUCUGGACUUGAAAGCAUUUGCGAAAAACGCCAGUACUAUAAAUUCUGAUGACAUCUUAUUAUUGGUAAGAAGAAUUCCAACCCUAUCUACAGGUUUCGCACGCGAUUCAGUCCAAAUGGAAUUAGAAACAUAAAAAA
This is a long non-coding RNA of Papilio polytes (common Mormon), 453 nucleotides long. RefSeq lists it as uncharacterized. The record is from RefSeq and is a predicted model, not a curated record. The transcript is spliced from 4 exons. Lineage: Eukaryota; Metazoa; Arthropoda; Insecta; Lepidoptera; Papilionidae.